Molecule: non-coding RNA, 129 nt
Organism: Chelonoidis abingdonii (Abingdon island giant tortoise)
Lineage: Eukaryota; Metazoa; Chordata; Testudines; Testudinidae
Source: RefSeq, a predicted model, not a curated record
AGGAUGGUGUUAAUACAGGGAGCAUAGAAACAUUUGCACCUGCAGGGGGAUAAAAAAGGAGAGUAGAAUUUAAGAAUAUACAUUUCUGAGAACAAAAGGCAGACUUGCACAGUGAAUCAAGCAAUUCAC